This 643-nucleotide ribosomal RNA is filed under the name uncultured bacterium. Its description in RNAcentral is "bacterial SSU rRNA". It matches the Rfam family "Bacterial small subunit ribosomal RNA", at positions 144 to 803 of the family's 1533-position model. The record is from RNAcentral.
CAACAGUUGGAAACGACUGCUAAUACCGCAUGACGCAUAGAGGUCGCAUGAUCUUUAUGCCAAAGAUUUAUCGCUUCAAGAUGGCCUCGCGUCUGAUUAGCUAGUUGGCGGGGUAACGGCCCACCAAGGCGACGAUCAGUAGCCGGACUGAGAGGUUGAACGGCCACAUUGGGACUGAGAUACGGCCCAGACUCCUACGGGAGGCAGCAGUGGGGAAUAUUGGGCAAUGGGCGCAAGCCUGACCCAGCAACGCCGCGUGAAGGAAGAAGGCUUUCGGGUUGUAAACUUCUUUUAAGAGGGAAGAGCAGAAGACGGUACCUCUAGAAUAAGCCACGGCUAACUACGUGCCAGCAGCCGCGGUAAUACGUAGGUGGCAAGCGUUGUCCGGAUUUACUGGGUGUAAAGGGCGUGCAGCCGGGUCUGCAAGUCAGAUGUGAAAUCCAUGGGCUCAACCCAUGAACUGCAUUUGAAACUGUAGAUCUUGAGUGUCGGAGGGGCAAUCGGAAUUCCUAGUGUAGCGGUGAAAUGCGUAGAUAUUAGGAGGAACACCAGUGGCGAAGGCGGAUUGCUGGACGAUAACUGACGGUGAGGCGCGAAAGUGUGGGGAGCAAACAGGAUUAGAUACCCUGGUAGUCCACACUGU